UCCUUUGGACGUCGAUCCGCAUUUGACCUUACUCCGUAUUGCUGUAAAACUGAUUUAUGUAACGAUCAUGAACCUCUGCCACCUACUACAGUGAUGCCUACUAUACCGCCAAAUCCAUAUUGUCCAAGAGGAUUCCAAUAUGUCAGUGGGUCGUGUUAUUUGGUGAACUUAACCAAAAUGACAUGGUCAAAAGCACAGGACUUUUGCAAAAGUCAUGGUGCACACUUAGCUGAUUUCACUACAAAAUAUGAGAUGGGACCUGUAAUACAAAAAGCAGUAGUACCUCUGUCAUCUCGUUUCCAAUUCUUUGAUCCGCAUUGUUGGAUAGAUGCUGUAUAUUCUGACAGCCACCACCACUGGAUUUGGUCGCACAGUUCUGCCUUAGUUGAUUAUCGUUCUUUUACCCAACUAGCACAUAGUACUGGUAAAACUUCAAAGUGUGCAUUUGCUACCUAUGCUGCGGGUAUUACUCCGUUGAUAUUUGAAAUCGAUGUUGACUGCAGUCGAAGUUACAUUCCGUUAUGUGAGGUUAAUCCGUUUUAAUAACAUUAAAUAAUCGUCGUAAUGAUAAUUGCGAGAAUAUUAAGAAUGAUUUGUCCCUUUCUUUUUUCUUUAGUUCUUAACCAAAUUGGUUUUUUUUUAACAUGUGGAUUAGUGUGUAUCAACAAGUGUCGUAUUUGGCGAAACUUUUAGGAGUUUUUGGUUCUCAAUGCUCUUCAACUUCGUUCUUAAUGUGGCCUUUUUAACUUUUUUUAUUCGAGCGUCACUGAUGAGACUGGCGCAAACACAAAAUUUUAAUCCUCGUAUCUCAAUGUAUCUAUGGUGAGUUUAUUAAAUCGAACAUUUUUCACUUUCCUUAAAUUUCGCUAUAGUGACGAAUAAGGUGAUCAGACACACAACAAACAAGAUGACAAAAACAAAAAGAAUACAUUUUGCUAACAAAAUAAUAGAGAAAUAAUGUAUUAA
Molecule: long non-coding RNA, 966 nt
Organism: Mytilus californianus (California mussel)
Lineage: Eukaryota; Metazoa; Mollusca; Bivalvia; Mytilida; Mytilidae
Exons: 4
Source: RefSeq, a predicted model, not a curated record